CUAUAUAUAUAUAUAUUUGUAGUAUGUACACAUAAUAUCCUGAUGAUAACAUUAACAUUUACACUCGCCCACUACACCUUCCACUGGGGUAUCUUCUUGUGCGGACGUUCAGAAUCCCGGUCAUAUAACCAGGCAGGACUGGUGGGGUUGGGGGUAUCUUGCCCCCCCCUCUAGUUCCAAGGAUCUGUGAUGGUUUCGGUAUCCCAAGGACUGAUUUAUACCGUGUAUCGAUGAGACUUCCACAUCAGAUACUGUAUAUGUGAAUAUAAGAUCAGUUUCGCAGAUCUUGUACCAUUGCAAAACUGUGACCACAGACAGCAUCAUGUGUAUCAACUAGUUUAACUGGAAAAUGUUUUUCUUUUUUCCCUUCCUCUCAUUAUUUUGUCAGAAUUUCAAUGAUAUUAAAUUUCAUUGACACGUUACCAUGGGGUUGAUGAAAAAAGGGAGGGGUGUGCCAGCCAUGCCACACGGUUAUAAUUAAUGGGUCUUGCACAUUUACUAUUUGGAUGGGAGAGUUACACCUUUAAUGAAUUAUUUAUUUCAUGGACAUUGAUUGAUAGGUGUUGUGAAGAUCAUGUCCUUUUUGAGGUUAACUUGUUUGAUAGGGUUGGCUUCUUAAUAUAACCUAGCUGUGGUUGUUAAAAAGAUACAACUUGAAUGAGCGAGGUUUGAAGAGCACAGGAAAGGUUAAUACAUGGAGGAAAAUCGUGCACUUGGUGGUGGGUGUGGCAUUGACUGGGUGGCAGGGCGUCAUUCUUUGGGCAGGGCUCUCAUUUCUCUGGAUGUCGUGUGACAUAUAUAUAUAUAUAUAUAUAUAUACACACACGGAUUCAUCCUCCAUUACCCUGACUCACCCUAAUUCAGCCUAACACAACCUGCACCUCUUUCUUUCUCCCCCCUCCCCCCAUCGCAGGUUGUUCUGAACUUAUUGCAGCAUCAUGAAUCCAGACAAGAAAUGCGGUACAAGUAAGCCUCCAUGUGAUGGAAAUUAUCCUCCUCAACCAGUGGGAUUUUGUGGUACUGCUGAAUGGAUGAAUAGGCAGAAGGAAAAAAAGGAAAGGAAGAAGCAGAAGAAGGCAUUGAAAAAGUUGAGGAAGGAAAAGAACAAGAAGCUUGAAGAGUGUGACAAUGGCCUGACUGCCAAAGAAAAUGAAUUCUUCAACAGGACGAAAUUGGAAAUAAAGAUUUUGAAAACCAAGAUGAAGCAAGCCAAGAGAAGGAACAAGGGGGGAUCCGGCGAUGGCACAUGUGGCCUGACACCUGUCGAGAUGGAGGAGUUAACGAAGAAGAAGUCUCAAUUGAAACCUUUGAAGGAGAAGAAGAAACUUCACAAGAAAAACAAGGAGGGGCCCAGCUCGGAUGAUUCCGACACUGGCCUGACCCAAGAAGAGUAUAUAUGCUGGAAAACGUCAAAGACUGAAAAGAAACUUUUGAAGAAGAAAGCAAAAAAGAGAGCAACCGACGGUACUGCUGUUGGCUUGACAUGCACUGAAAAGGAAUGUCUCGUGGAACUGGAGAAUAAAUUGAAGGUGUUGAAGAAAAAGAAAAAAGCCUUCAAGAAAAAAAACAAGCCUGCUUCGGAUUCCGAUUCCGACUCUGACGUUGGACUGAAUGCUGAGGAGUUUCAAUGCUGGAAGACAAAUAAGUGCCAAAUUAAGUGCUUGAAGAAGAAGAAGAAGCAAGCCAAAAAGGCUCAUAAAAGGGCUACCAAGGAUGCUCCAUGUGCUGGCGUCGUUGAUUUCCUGACACCCAAGGAAAUGGAAGAGAUGAAGAAUCUGAAGGCAAAGAUGAAGGCACUGAAGCAAAAGAAGAGAGAAUACAAGAAAAAGAAUAAUAUUGAGGUUUCUUCAAGUUCAAGUGACUCUGAUGAAAAUCUGACACCGGAGCAAAAGCAAUAUAAAAAGCAGAUGAAGGAGCAAGGAAAGAUGUGCAAGAAAAUGAUGAAACAGCAAAAGAAGGCUGAGAAAGGCAAAAACAAGAAGCCUGGAGAUCCCGAGUUGAGUGAUUCCUCUGAUUCAUCCUCCAGCUCUUCAAGUUCUUCCUCCUCUUCCUCCAGUGAUAAUGAGUGCGGUGCAUGUCCCACCAAAUCCAAACCACCAUGUCCCCAAAUGCAGCAAAAGUGUCCUGGGUUGCCAAAAUAGUGAUGGAGUUUUCCAAAGGGUCACACUGGCCAUUAGGUCUCGUGACCAACACACGGCCUAUUUUUGCUUUUUCAUUCAGCUUCUAAUUAGUUAGCCUUGGCUAAAAUGGGUCAGUUUUGCAACAAAAAAUAUUUUACCUUGCUUUUCUUACAGGAACAUUCAUUUUAAUCACCAAAAACAAUCAUUAACUUUCUCAAUGCUGGUGAGUUUCUGUUUUAACGAUUUUUUUUUACCUCUCUCAUAAGAUGAGUUGAAACCCUUGAAAGGCUGAGUUUGGAAGUUGAAAGAAUAAUGUUGUACUGCUUGAUCCAACAGACUUGUGUUUUAAAAACUCCAGUUAUAAAAUGCUGAAAGAUACAAGAAACUUUUUUUUCUGAAAGACAUGUUCAGAAGUUUGCCGUUUUGACCACGGAGUGGUCUUUAACUGAGACGAAGCAGGACAUAUUGUAGCCAAACUCUGACUAUACCCCUUGAGAGAGGCUGAGGUGUGGGGGGGGGGGAUCCAAUGUCAAAAGAAGGAAGGGGUAGGAAAGAGGAACAUGAGAAAGGAGAAAAGGAAGAAGAGUUGGGUUGAAAGGAAUGAACGGGGCAGCUGAAACCAGAUACACUCACCCCACUCUCUUUUCUCCUUCACUCCUAUCAACUACUCCAAUUUCCCCCCACUGCCACUUUCCUCAACCUUCCCCCUUCACUCUCUUCUUCAUUCAUCCACCAUUUCCCUCCCCUUUCUCACAAUCCUUUGGUCUGCCACCAGCUCAGCGUACCUGUCCUGCUACGUCCCAGUUGAAGUGCACUUUGUGUUCAAUACACUGAAGCUCUGAGACUUUACUGUCCAAAAAAAAAAAUUCGUUAUUUGGUGAUAUUUUGUUUUCAUUGUUUUGUAAUCUCUGCACCUUUGAAAUGUGAUCUAAACUACACUUCGUUUGUCCUUUGUCAUGCAAUCAUGAUUUAUUGUGGUGGAUUAUUCAGGAUUAUAUGGGAAUUUUUUCUGUAUCCGAGGGAAUGGUGAAAUAAACGAUUAAAACUUUAUUGCAGCAUCUUAUUCAAACAAAUAAAUUCUUAUCGAACUUUGUUUCUUAUUUGGAUACUUCAGUUACAAGGUAAAUGGAAGAGCUAGUUGACAAAGGGUAAAAUAUAAUGUACUGAUAGGACAGUGUGGCAACAGUCAGACAUGAUGAGGAAAGACAAUAACUGGCAAGUAAGAGGGUUAGGCUCUGAUUUUGAUGGAACAUACUCUGUCACAGAGCAUUGGUGCUGUUAAAGUAGUUUAUUGGCAAUAGUUAUACUAGGU
Molecule: long non-coding RNA, 3432 nt
Filed under: Eptatretus burgeri (inshore hagfish)
Lineage: Eukaryota; Metazoa; Chordata; Myxini; Myxiniformes; Myxinidae
Description: lncRNA (ENSEBUG00000017098.1)
Source: RNAcentral